CAGCCGCUUGGCCAGCACCAGGUCCGCACCCUCGGGCGCUGCCCAUCGUCUUGCGCAUCAGCUCGGCAUAGAAACCGUCGGGCAUGACCUGCAGGACCAGCGCCUGCGCGGCGGG
Molecule: transfer RNA, 115 nt
Filed under: Erythrobacter litoralis HTCC2594
Lineage: Bacteria; Pseudomonadati; Pseudomonadota; Alphaproteobacteria; Sphingomonadales; Erythrobacteraceae
Description: tRNA-Pro
Source: RNAcentral